This 467-nucleotide ribosomal RNA is filed under the name uncultured bacterium. RNAcentral's name for it is "bacterial SSU rRNA". It matches the Rfam family "Bacterial small subunit ribosomal RNA", at positions 28 to 508 of the family's 1533-position model. The record is from RNAcentral.
GAUGAACGCUGGCGGCGUGCUUAACACAUGCAAGUCGAACGAUGAAGCCCAGCUUGCUGGGUGGAUUAGUGGCGAACGGGUGAGUAACACGUGAGUAACCUGCCCUUAACUCUGGGAUAAGCCUGGGAAACUGGGUCUAAUACCGGAUAGGAGCGUCCACCGCAUGGUGGGUGUUGGAAAGAUUUAUCGGUUUUGGAUGGACUCGCGGCCUAUCAGCUUGUUGGUGAGGUAAUGGCUCACCAAGGCGACGACGGGUAGCCGGCCUGAGAGGGUGACCGGCCACACUGGGACUGAGACACGGCCCAGACUCCUACGGGAGGCAGCAGUGGGGAAUAUUGCACAAUGGGCGCAAGCCUGAUGCAGCGACGCCGCGUGAGGGAUGACGGCCUUCGGGUUGUAAACCUCUUUCAGUAGGGAAGAAGCGAAAGUGACGGUACCUGCAGAAGAAGCACCGGCUAACUACGUGC